This 253-nucleotide ribosomal RNA is filed under the name uncultured microorganism. RNAcentral's name for it is "partial 16S ribosomal RNA". It matches the Rfam family "Bacterial small subunit ribosomal RNA", at positions 524 to 776 of the family's 1533-position model. The record is from RNAcentral.
UACGUAGGGGGCGAGCGUUACCAGGAUUUACUGGGCGUAAAGGGGGCGGAGGCGGCCGUGAAAGUCCGGUGUGAAAACUCACGGCUCAACCGUGGGACUGCGCUGGAAACUACACGGCUUGAGGACGGUAGAGGGAGACGGAACUGCUGGUGUAGGGGUGAAAUCCGUAGAUAUCAGCAGGAACGCCGGUGGAGAAGUCGGUCUCCUGGGCCGUUCCUGACGCUGAGGCCCGAAAGCUAGGGGAGCAAACCGG